CCCAUUCUACACGCUAUGGAAUCUCUUCUGCGGGUUCAUGAUCCCAAGAAAGGUAUGGAGCGAAUGUCACCCCCAUGAUUUGCAUCUAACAAAACCAAUCAACAACUUCCAACCUAUGGUGGACUUCCAGUUCCGUUUCCGUUUGGCAAUCUAGGUAUGGUUGAGUCCUAGGGUGUUUUUUCCAGUGCAAGCCUUUUGGGAAAAUCAAGUAUGCUAGUAGGUCGUAUGAUCUUCUAGUGGAGAAUUUUUUGAAAUGCACAAUAUUGAAACCAAUAAUUGGUGCAUAUGACCUAAGAUUUGUUCUUAUUUGCACUCUAGAGUUUUUUUUUCUUAUUUUUUGAGAUAAGGGUUUCAUCAGCACGUAGAGUUGAACAAGCAAUUCCAUGCAAUAGGAAAACAUCACAUAAUUUUUGUGAUAGGGCAAGUUGGUUUUUUUUGAGGGAUAAUAGGGCAAGUUGGUGAUAGGUGGGCCCUAAUAUGUUUGACUAGCCUGUACAGAACGUGUCGGGCCAUAUGGGCUUUCAUACACUAGUAAGAUCAUCGGUCACUGUGCACACACAACCGCGUCGGCACUGGACCAUUGGGCUUGUCAAUUUUUCCUUUUCCUUCCAAAUAAAUAGGGUACUCAAUUCUUUUUAUCCAUGCUGUGAACCAGCACAACACAGGCACAUGGAUACGGUUUUGUAGUUUUGCCGAACAUUAAGAAAAACAAAUAAACAAAUUUAAGUAUAUUCAGCUUAGCAUGGUAGACACACUGCCUGUCUUGAUCUACACACUUGUACCUGAACAGAACAAGAAUCAUACACUUGCUAGUCGGCACCAUCCUGUUGUGUUUGGUUAACGAUUCCGUUACCAAAUAAUAAUGCAGCUGAUCCCGGUGUGGUGGAGGUGGUACUACUGGGCCAACCCGGUGUCCUGGACGCUGUACGGGCUUCUGACCUCCCAGUUCGGCGACCUGGAUCAGCCCCUUCUGCUGGCCGACGGCAUCAGAACCACCACCGUGGUGGCGUUCCUGGAGGAGCACUUCGGGUUCCGGCACGACUUCCUGGGCGUCGUCGCCACGAUGGUGGUCGGCUUCUGCGUCCUCUUCGCCGUCGUCUUCGCCCUCGCCAUCAGGAACCUCAACUUCCAGCGCAGAUGAUGUGCAUGAUCGGUAGCAGCAAAUGUACCCCGCCGUUUUAACUUGUCCAGUGUGCAUGUGUGCAAUCAAUUAAGAGCUCGUAAAUAAUUCGAGAGAGACAUUUGAAACAACAAGUGUAUGUAUCAUCAUGUAUAGCAAGCAAAGGCUUUGAGAUGUUUUGUUUGUUGAUAUUGAUACGGGCGGGGCGGACCUGCAUAUAUUCGUUGAGCAUUUGCCGCGUCCAGGAGCGCCGGUGCGUG
RNAcentral lists this long non-coding RNA (1380 nucleotides) under Triticum aestivum (bread wheat). RNAcentral describes it as "long non-coding RNA (TAES_LNC026922)". Lineage: Eukaryota; Viridiplantae; Streptophyta; Magnoliopsida; Poales; Poaceae. The record is from RNAcentral.